RNAcentral lists this ribosomal RNA (253 nucleotides) under uncultured bacterium. RNAcentral's name for it is "partial 16S ribosomal RNA". It matches the Rfam family "Bacterial small subunit ribosomal RNA", at positions 524 to 776 of the family's 1533-position model. The record is from RNAcentral.
UACGGAGGGUGCAAACGUUGCUCGGAAUCAUUGGGCGUAAAGCACACGUAGGCGGACCGCUAAGUCGGAUGUGAAAGCCCUCGGCUUAACCGAGGAAGUGCAUUCGAAACUGACAGUCUUGAGUAUGGAAGAGGGUCGCGGAAUUCCCGGUGUAGAGGUGAAAUUCGUAGAUAUCGGGAGGAACACCAGUGGCGAAGGCGGCGACCUGGGCCAAUACUGACGCUGAGGUGCGAAAGCGUGGGGAGCAAACAGG